GCCUAGUUAGUUUGGUGGGUAGAGCGCUGCCUGUUAAGCGCUAGGUCGCGGGUUCGAUUCCCGCCCGGGGCG
This 72-nucleotide transfer RNA is filed under the name Diaphorina citri (Asian citrus psyllid). It matches the Rfam family "tRNA". From Rfam's summary of the family: Transfer RNA (tRNA) molecules are approximately 80 nucleotides in length. Their secondary structure includes four short double-helical elements and three loops (D, anti-codon, and T loops). The record is from Rfam by way of RNAcentral. Lineage: Eukaryota; Metazoa; Arthropoda; Insecta; Hemiptera; Psyllidae.